RNAcentral lists this ribosomal RNA (452 nucleotides) under Shigella flexneri. RNAcentral's name for it is "bacterial SSU rRNA". It matches the Rfam family "Bacterial small subunit ribosomal RNA", at positions 1 to 449 of the family's 1533-position model. The record is from RNAcentral. Lineage: Bacteria; Pseudomonadati; Pseudomonadota; Gammaproteobacteria; Enterobacterales; Enterobacteriaceae.
AAAUUGAAGAGUUUGAUCAUGGCUCAGAUUGAACGCUGGUGGCAGGCCUAACACAUGCAAGUCGAACGGUAACAGGAAGCAGCUUGCUGUUUCGCUGACGAGUGGCGGACGGGUGAGUAAUGUCUGGGAAACUGCCUGAUGGAGGGGGAUAACUACUGGAAACGGUAGCUAAUACCGCAUAACGUCGCAAGACCAAAGAGGGGGACCUUCGGGCCUCUUGCCAUCGGAUGUGCCCAGAUGGGAUUAGCUAGUAGGUGGGGUAACGGCUCACCUAGGCGACGAUCCCUAGCUGGUCUGAGAGGAUGACCAGCCACACUGGAACUGAGACACGGUCCAGACUCCUACGGGAGGCAGCAGUGGGGAAUAUUGCACAAUGGGCGCAAGCCUGAUGCAGCCAUGCCGCGUGUAUGAAGAAGGCCUUCGGGUUGUAAAGUACUUUCAGCGGGGAGGAA